RNAcentral lists this ribosomal RNA (171 nucleotides) under uncultured Pseudomonas sp. Its description in RNAcentral is "partial 16S ribosomal RNA". It matches the Rfam family "Bacterial small subunit ribosomal RNA", at positions 317 to 484 of the family's 1533-position model. Lineage: Bacteria; Pseudomonadati; Pseudomonadota; Gammaproteobacteria; Pseudomonadales; Pseudomonadaceae. The record is from RNAcentral.
GGCGGGGGCACGGGGGGCUCCUACGGGAGGCAGCAGUGGGGAAUAUUGGACAAUGGGCGAAAGCCUGAUCCAGCCAUGCCGCGUGUGUGAAGAAGGUCUUCGGAUUGUAAAGCACUUUAAGUUGGGAGGAAGGGCAUUAACCUAAUACGUUAGUGUUUGACGUACCGACAG